UACGGGGGGGGCAAGCGUUGUUCGGAAUUACUGGGCGUAAAGGGCUCGUAGGUGGCCAACUAAGUCAGACGUGAAAUCCCUCGGCUUAACCGGGGAACUGCGUCUGAUACUGGAUGGCUUGAGUUCGGGAGAGGGAUGCGGAAUUCCAGGUGUAGCGGUGAAAUGCGUAGAUAUCGGAAGGAACACCAGUGGCGAAGGCGACUUCCUGGCCCGUUACCGACACUGAGGCGCGAAAGCGUGGGGAGCGAACAGG
RNAcentral lists this ribosomal RNA (253 nucleotides) under uncultured bacterium. Its description in RNAcentral is "partial 16S ribosomal RNA". It matches the Rfam family "Bacterial small subunit ribosomal RNA", at positions 524 to 776 of the family's 1533-position model. The record is from RNAcentral.